This 515-nucleotide ribosomal RNA is filed under the name uncultured bacterium. RNAcentral describes it as "partial 16S ribosomal RNA". It matches the Rfam family "Bacterial small subunit ribosomal RNA", at positions 28 to 523 of the family's 1533-position model. The record is from RNAcentral.
GAUGAACGCUGGCGGCGUGCCUAAUACAUGCAAGUCGAGCGAAUGGAUUAAGAGCUUGCUCUUAUGAAGUUAGCGGCGGACGGGUGAGUAACACGUGGGUAACCUGCCCAUAAGACUGGGAUAACUCCGGGAAACCGGGGCUAAUACCGGAUAACAUUUUGAACCGCAUGGUUCGAAAUUGAAAGGCGGCUUAGGCUGUCACUUAUGGAUGGACCCGCGUCGCAUUAGCUAGUUGGUGAGGUAACGGCUCACCAAGGCAACGAUGCGUAGCCGACCUGAGAGGGGGAUCGGCCACACUGGGACUGAGACACGGCCCAGACUCCUACGGGAGGCAGCAGGAGGGAAUCUUCCGCAAUGGACGAAAGUCUGACGGAGCAACGCCGCGUGAGUGAUGAAGGCUUUCGGGUCGUAAAACUCUGUUGUUAGGGAAGAACAAGUGCUAGUUGAAUAAGCUGACACCUUGACGGUACCUAACCAGAAAGCCACGGCUAACUACGUGCCAGCAGCCGCGGUAA